AAUGUAUGACGCCGUUGACUUUUUGAUUAACGUUUGACCAUUCGUCUUAUUCAAAAAAGUUAUGUAAUUAUCAUUUAUUUUAUUGUCACUUGAUUUAUCAUAAAAUAUUCUUUAAGUAUGGCAUAAAUAUUUUUGUAUUUGCAUAAAAAUUUUAAAUAAGACGAAUGGUCAAACGUUGUUUAAAAAGUCAACGGCGUCAUACAUU
Molecule: microRNA precursor, 205 nt
Organism: Oryza sativa Japonica Group (Japanese rice)
Lineage: Eukaryota; Viridiplantae; Streptophyta; Magnoliopsida; Poales; Poaceae
Rfam family: MIR812 microRNA precursor family
Source: Rfam